Molecule: transfer RNA, 73 nt
Filed under: Verticillium dahliae VdLs.17
Lineage: Eukaryota; Fungi; Ascomycota; Sordariomycetes; Glomerellales; Plectosphaerellaceae
Also listed under: 2 other names
Description: tRNA-Val (CAC) (tRNA-Val-CAC-2-1)
Rfam family: tRNA
About the family: Transfer RNA (tRNA) molecules are approximately 80 nucleotides in length. Their secondary structure includes four short double-helical elements and three loops (D, anti-codon, and T loops). Further hydrogen bonds mediate the characteristic L-shaped molecular structure. tRNAs have two regions of fundamental functional importance: the anti-codon, which is responsible for specific mRNA codon recognition, and the 3' end, to which the tRNAs corresponding amino acid is attached (by aminoacyl-tRNA synthetases). tRNAs cope with the degeneracy of the genetic code in two manners: having more than one tRNA (with a specific anti-codon) for a particular amino acid; and 'wobble' base-pairing, i.e. permitting non-standard base-pairing at the 3rd anti-codon position.
Source: RNAcentral
GGUCUGGUGGUGUAGUGGUUAUCACGUCAGUCUCACACACUGAAGGUCGGGAGUUCGAACCUCCCCUAGAUCA